Molecule: ribosomal RNA, 255 nt
Filed under: Coccolithus braarudii
Lineage: Eukaryota; Haptophyta; Coccolithales; Coccolithaceae
Description: partial large subunit ribosomal RNA
Rfam family: Eukaryotic large subunit ribosomal RNA
Source: RNAcentral
GCCCCCCGAAUUGUGGUCUAGAAAGGCGCCAUCGGCCAUUCGCGUCGCCCAAAUCCCUUGGAACAGGGUAUCGGAGAAGGUGAGAAUCCUGUGCCGUGGCGUAGAAUGGCCGCACGAUGCGUCCUUGUCGAGUCGGGUUGCUUGGGAUUGCAGCUUGAAGUGGGUGGUAAAUUCCAUCUAAAGCUAAAUACUGGCGAGAGACCGAUAGCGAACAAGUACCGUGAGGGAAAGAUGCAAAGAACUUUGAAAAGAGAG